UUUACUCCGAUUCUGUCAAAUUUUAUCUGGAUCUAUGUAUUCCUAACUCUUUGCAAUCUAUCCGGAUUUCCUUUGAACGUAUUUUGCGUUAAAUCAAGCAUUGGCGUCAUGAUAUCUAAAGCCAAACUAACUCUAACGGCAUUUCAUGUAAUCAGGGUUGCCCCAUCUCGUUUCUUCUUGUCCGUGAGCUGUCUCUUACGACUCACUGUUAAAUUCUGACACUACUUUAAAUCACUUAGAGCUCAUUGGUAUCAUUCAUGUGUUUACAGGAAAGACAACCUUUGGCAGACAUAAGCAAUCAACCAAAAGCUAAAUCGCUAACCAAAUCUUCUCUGAUAACACCCAUGUAUCCGUCGUUAGAACCUUUGCGACCACUAACACCGUCCUCAUCGCCACUUCGCACAAGCAUGCGGGUCGGUCCCAAAGGUCGAGCCGCAACAUGCGAUUUCGAUGGCGAAGCUAAUGUGGGAUCGCAAUUAAGUUUGCAAUCGUCGCCUCGUCGAAGUCCAUCUAAAGCACACCCGCCAUUGGUGCUUCACUGCCGAUCGAAAUCGCAUUCCCCAUCGGUACCUCAAUGGAGCCAUUUGCCAUCAACGCCUCGUCUGAGCCCAUCGCCAAAACAAAGUCUCUCUCUAUCACAUUCUAGGAGUUCGCGGUGACGGUCACGCUUUAACAGUUCGCGCUCUCAGCAUACUCCGAAUUCUCCAUGCUCUCAAAAUUCACCGUCGCGUUCGCGCCCUCAACAUGCACCAUCACCUAUGCGCUCUCAACAUGCACCGUCGCGUUCGCGCUCUCAGCGUUCACGGUCCCGCGCACAUUCGCGUUUUAGACGUUAGCGGUCACGUUCGCGUUCUAGGCAUUCGCGGUCACGGUCACGCGCUUUUUUUAUUUUCUAACGAUUCAUUACUCCUUAUUGUUCAAAAGAAUAUAAUUUUUGAAUGGCACAUAAGUAACAUGAAAUAUUGUCACAGAUUCAACGACCUACUGGAUUAUUCUCAAAUUUUGGAAACCGAGAUUGUAUAAGAUGUACGCAAAGCGAAACCUUUUGAAUGCUCCAGAUGAAGCAGAAGCACAUCGGCGUUAUAAAAUAUUUGAUGAAGGAAAGCGCAUUUAUUUGUGACAAGGUAUUACUUCACGAGUAGAUGCCUGGAGAACGCUGUGAACUACAAAACCAUUAAGCACUUUUGCUGCGGGGGCAGCUCAGCUGAUAUGGAAAAAAGAGUUGCCGUAUUUUUCUUUGGACCUCAAAAAAGUAAAGAAAAUUGUUCCCGGAGAGAAGUCCAUUCAGCUUAUCUGUCCAAAUAAGUUG
This is a long non-coding RNA of Nasonia vitripennis (jewel wasp), 1309 nucleotides long. RefSeq lists it as uncharacterized. The record is from RefSeq and is a predicted model, not a curated record. The transcript is spliced from 3 exons. NCBI's taxonomy places the organism in Eukaryota, Metazoa, Arthropoda, Insecta, Hymenoptera, Pteromalidae.